RNAcentral lists this small RNA (68 nucleotides) under Nocardia bhagyanarayanae. RNAcentral's name for it is "ASdes TB sRNA". It matches the Rfam family "ASdes TB sRNA". The record is from RNAcentral. Lineage: Bacteria; Bacillati; Actinomycetota; Actinomycetes; Mycobacteriales; Nocardiaceae.
AGCGCGACCGGAUCCACUCCCCUGGUGACGACGAGAUAGUCACGCAUCGUGAUGCCGUGCCGGUUCUC